RNAcentral lists this ribosomal RNA (523 nucleotides) under uncultured bacterium. Its description in RNAcentral is "bacterial SSU rRNA". It matches the Rfam family "Bacterial small subunit ribosomal RNA", at positions 29 to 526 of the family's 1533-position model. The record is from RNAcentral.
AACGAACGCUGGCGGAGUGCUUAAGACAUGCAAGUCGUACGAGAACGUGACCUUCGGGUCGCUAGUAAAGUGGCGCACGGGUGAGUAACGCGUGGGUAAUCUGCCCUUUGGUCUGGGAUAACCCCGGGAAACCGGAGCUAAUACCGGAUAAGACCACGAUGACUUCGGUCGAUGUGGGAAAAGGUGGCCUCUUCUUGAAAGCUAUCGCCGAUGGAUGAGCCCGCGUCGCAUUAGCUUGUUGGUGGGGUAACGGCCUACCAAGGCUACGAUGCGUAGCUGGUCUGAGAGGAUGAUCAGCCACACUGGAACUGAGACACGGUCCAGACUCCUACGGGAGGCAGCAGUCGGGAAUAUUGGACAAUGGGGGAAACCCUGAUCCAGCAACUCCGCGUGAGGGAUGAAGGCCUUCGGGUCGUAAACCUCUGUCAGAAGGGAAGAAAACUGCAGGUCAAAUAGACUUGUAGCUUGACGGUACCUUCAAAGGAAGCACCGGCUAACUCCGUGCCAGCCGCCGCCGUAACAC